RNAcentral lists this ribosomal RNA (272 nucleotides) under Pseudoalteromonas sp. S1727. Its description in RNAcentral is "partial 16S ribosomal RNA". It matches the Rfam family "Bacterial small subunit ribosomal RNA", at positions 819 to 1091 of the family's 1533-position model. Lineage: Bacteria; Pseudomonadati; Pseudomonadota; Gammaproteobacteria; Alteromonadales; Pseudoalteromonadaceae. The record is from RNAcentral.
GAAGCUCGGGUCCUCGGACUUGUUUUUCAAAGCUAACGCAUUAAGUAGACCGCCUGGGGAGUACGGCCGCAAGGUUAAAACUCAAAUGAAUUGACGGGGGCCCGCACAAGCGGUGGAGCAUGUGGUUUAAUUCGAUGCAACGCGAAGAACCUUACCUACACUUGACAUACAGAGAACUUACCAGAGAUGGUUUGGUGCCUUCGGGAACUCUGAUACAGGUGCUGCAUGGCUGUCGUCAGCUCGUGUUGUGAGAUGUUGGGUUAAGUCCCGCA